This 253-nucleotide ribosomal RNA is filed under the name uncultured bacterium. RNAcentral describes it as "partial 16S ribosomal RNA". It matches the Rfam family "Bacterial small subunit ribosomal RNA", at positions 524 to 776 of the family's 1533-position model. The record is from RNAcentral.
UACGGAGGGUGCAAGCGUUGUCCGGAAUCACUGGGCGUAAAGGGUGCGUAGGUGGCGCGCUAAGUCAGGUGUGAAAUUUCGGAGCUUAACUCCGAAACUGCAUUUGAUACUGGCGUGCUUGAGGACUGGAGAGGAGACUGGAAUUCAUGGUGUAGCAGUGAAAUGCGUAGAGAUCAUGAGGAAGACCAGUGGCGAAGGCGGGUCUCUGGACAGUUCCUGACACUGAGGCACGAAGGCCAGGGGAGCAAACGGG